RNAcentral lists this long non-coding RNA (399 nucleotides) under Ananas comosus (pineapple). Its description in RNAcentral is "long non-coding RNA (ACOM_LNC019504)". The record is from RNAcentral. Lineage: Eukaryota; Viridiplantae; Streptophyta; Magnoliopsida; Poales; Bromeliaceae.
GCUCAAUCAGGCUCUCACAGGCUGUAAUCCAAGUAGAAAGGUUUCACUAGUCUAACAACCAUAAUCUACAUACCCUCGGCACAAUCUGAUGCAAAAACUACAAACUGGGUCCACCGUCAACCACAAUGGCACCCGACAGUCCGGAACAAUCUGCACACUACUGUAAAAAUACGCUCGGCAUCUCAGCACCAGCGUAAAUACAUUUUACACUAUUCUGGGUAUCCACCACCAACAAACUGCGGCGAUACAAACAAAUUACGGCUCCUAGAGCUAAAUUUGAUAGUUUGAGCAAAUGACAGUAUAGAAUCGUUAGUUUUCUCCUAAGUCAAAUCUAAGUCCAAAAUGUAUAAUUUAGCUAAUAUUCUAAGCUCCAAUUCAGAUUUAAAAAUAUGCAAAUCA